CGGGGGGCAGCAGUGGGGAAUAUUGGACAAUGGGGGCAACCCUGAUCCAGCCAUGCCGCGUGAGUGAUGAAGGCCUUCGGGUUGUAAAGCUCUUUUGGCGGGGACGAUGAUGACGGUACCCGCAGAAUAAGCCCCGGCUAACUUCGUGCCAGCAGCCGCGGUAAGACGAAGGGGGCUAGCGUUGUUCGGAAUUACUGGGCGUAAAGCGAGUGUAGGUGGUCAUCCAAGUUGGAUGUGAAAGCCUUGGGCUUAACCCAAGAAAUGCAUUCAGGACUGGAUGACUAGAGGACCGGAGAGGAUAGUGGAAUUCCCAGUGUAGUGGUGAAAUACGUAGAGAUUGGGAAGAACACCAGUGGCGAAGGCGGCUAUCUGGACGGUUUCUGACACUAAGACUCGAAAGCGUGGGGAGCAAACAGGAUUAGAUACCCGAGU
Molecule: ribosomal RNA, 432 nt
Filed under: uncultured Rhodospirillaceae bacterium
Lineage: Bacteria; Pseudomonadati; Pseudomonadota; Alphaproteobacteria; Rhodospirillales; Rhodospirillaceae
Description: bacterial SSU rRNA
Rfam family: Bacterial small subunit ribosomal RNA
Source: RNAcentral